This 465-nucleotide ribosomal RNA is filed under the name uncultured bacterium. RNAcentral describes it as "partial 16S ribosomal RNA". It matches the Rfam family "Bacterial small subunit ribosomal RNA", at positions 339 to 795 of the family's 1533-position model. The record is from RNAcentral.
CUACGGGAUGCUGCAGUGGGGAAUAUUGGACAAUGGGGGAAACCCUGAUCCAGCAAUGCCGCGUGUGUGAAGAAGGCCUGCGGGUUGUAAAGCACUUUCGGUUGGGAGGACUGCUUCUAGCACUAAUAUUGUUGGAAGUUGACGUUACCUUCAGAAGAAGCACCGGCUAACUCCGUGCCAGCAGCCGUGGUAAUACGGAGGGUGCAAGCGUUAAUCGGAAUUACUGGGCGUAAAGCGCGCGUAGGCGGCUAGAUCAGUCGGGUGUGAAAGCCCCGGGCUUAACCUGGGAACUGCAUCCGAUACUGUCUAGCUUGAGUACAGGAGAGGAGAGUGGAAUUCCACAUGUAGCGGUGAAAUGCGUAGAUAUGUGGAGGAACACCAAUGGCGAAGGCAGCUCUCUGGCCUGAUACUGACGCCGAGGUGCGAAAGCGUGGGGAGCAAACAGGAUUAGAUACCCUAGUAGUC